RNAcentral lists this transfer RNA (90 nucleotides) under Auriscalpium vulgare. RNAcentral's name for it is "tRNA-Thr". It matches the Rfam family "tRNA". From Rfam's summary of the family: Transfer RNA (tRNA) molecules are approximately 80 nucleotides in length. Their secondary structure includes four short double-helical elements and three loops (D, anti-codon, and T loops). The record is from RNAcentral. Lineage: Eukaryota; Fungi; Basidiomycota; Agaricomycetes; Russulales; Auriscalpiaceae.
UCCCUCUUAGCUCAGUUGGUAGAGCGCGUCACUAGUAGCGAGCUUGGUUGCGUAAUGACGAGGUCAGUCGUUCAAAUCGGCUAGCGGGAA